CCUACGGGUGGCAGCAGUGAGGAAUAUUGGUCAAUGGCCGGAAGGCUGAACCAGCCAUGCCGCGUGAAGGUCAGUGCCCUAUGGGCGUUAAACUUCUUUUGUGCGGGAGCAAUAAUGGUCACGUGUGGCCAGACGAGAGUACCGUACGAAUAAGCAUCGGCUAACUCCGUGCCAGCAGCCGCGGUAAUACGUAGGGAGCAAGCGUUAUCCGGAUUUAUUGGGUGUAAAGGGUGCGUAGACGGAGAAGCAAGUUAGUUGUGAAAUCCCUCGGCUUAACUGAGGAACUGCAACUAAAACUACUUCCCUUGAGUACUGGAGAGGAAAGUGGAAUUCCUAGUGUAGCGGUGAAAUGCGUAGAUAUUAGGAGGAACACCAGUGGCGAAGGCGACUUUCUGGACAGUAACUGACGUUGAGGCACGAAAGUGUGGGGAGCAAACAGGAUUAGAUACCCCAGUAGUC
RNAcentral lists this ribosomal RNA (459 nucleotides) under uncultured bacterium. Its description in RNAcentral is "partial 16S ribosomal RNA". It matches the Rfam family "Bacterial small subunit ribosomal RNA", at positions 338 to 795 of the family's 1533-position model. The record is from RNAcentral.